GGACAUUCGUCGUGCUCAUACACUAAAAUUGGAAUGACACAGAGAAGAUUAGCAUAGCCCCUGUGCAAAGAUGACAUGCAAAUUUGUGAAGGACGUUAGGACAUUUGU
Molecule: small nuclear RNA, 108 nt
Organism: Rhinopithecus bieti (black snub-nosed monkey)
Lineage: Eukaryota; Metazoa; Chordata; Mammalia; Primates; Cercopithecidae
Source: Ensembl